Long non-coding RNA from Crotalus tigris (Tiger rattlesnake), 440 nucleotides. RefSeq lists it as uncharacterized. Lineage: Eukaryota; Metazoa; Chordata; Lepidosauria; Squamata; Viperidae. The record is from RefSeq and is a predicted model, not a curated record. The transcript has 3 exons.
AGAGAGGGCUGUAAAGCACUGUGAAGUGAUAUAUAAGUCUAAGUGCUAUUGCUAUAAACAAAAGAAUACUUGUAUUAUUUUCAGCCAGGCAGAAAAAGAAACAUCAAAAAGGAAACCACAAUCCAGCCAAAACUGGCAGGAGACUGCUUGGAUAAGAUCUGCAGUUUCCUGGGGCUGAGAGGAAGUGACUAGCCCAAGGUCACCCAGCUGGCUUUGUUCCUAAGAAAGCAUCAAAUGAAUUGCUGGCGCUAGUCCACAGGGAAGAAAAGCUCUCCAUCCUGAACAGACAAGAGCGCUGAAAUUGCCCUAAGAGGAAAAGACUACUUUUGAACUACAGCAGGCAAAUACACCUGGAGGCUGAAUUUGUGUUGCAGGGAAUUGAACUCAUGUCUUCCAAAAAUUGUCCCUGUCUCAUUCUGGCCAUGACGACCAGGCAGGCA